This 484-nucleotide ribosomal RNA is filed under the name uncultured bacterium. RNAcentral describes it as "partial 16S ribosomal RNA". It matches the Rfam family "Bacterial small subunit ribosomal RNA", at positions 30 to 507 of the family's 1533-position model. The record is from RNAcentral.
AUUGAACGCUGGCGGCAGGCCUAACACAUGCAAGUCGAGCGGAUGAAGGGAGCUUGCUCCUGGAUUCAGCGGCGGACGGGUGAGUAAUGCCUAGGAAUCUGCCUGGUAGUGGGGGAUAACGUCCGGAAACGGGCGCUAAUACCGCAUACGUCCUGAGGGAGAAAGUGGGGGAUCUUCGGACCUCACGCUAUCAGAUGAGCCUAGGUCGGAUUAGCUAGUUGGUGGGGUAAAGGCCUACCAAGGCGAGGAUCCGUAACUGGUCUGAGAGGAUGAUCAGUCACACUGGAACUGAGACACGGUCCAGACUCCUACGGGAGGCAGCAGUGGGGAAUAUUGGACAAUGGGCGAAAGCCUGAUCCAGCCAUGCCGCGUGUGUGAAGAAGGUCUUCGGAUUGUAAAGCACUUUAAGUUGGGAGGAAGGGCAGUAAGUUAAUACCUUGCUGUUUUGACGGUACCAACAGAAUAAGCACCGGCUAACUUCGUG